CAGUAGCCGCGGGAAUACGAAGGGUGCAAGCGUUAAUCGGAAUUACUGGGCGUAAAGCGCACGCAGGCGGUCUGUCAAGUCGGAUGUGAAAUCCCCGGGCUCAACCUGGGAACUGCAUUCGAAACUGGCAGGCUAGAGUCUUGUAGAGGGGGGUAGAAUUCCAGGUGUAGCGGUGAAAUGCGUAGAGAUCUGGAGGAAUACCGGUGGCGAAGGCGGCCCCCUGGACAAAGACUGACGCUCAGGUGCGAAAGCGUGGGGAGCAAACAGGAUUAGAUACCCCAGUAGUCCCUGUCUCUUAUAC
RNAcentral lists this ribosomal RNA (301 nucleotides) under uncultured bacterium. Its description in RNAcentral is "partial 16S ribosomal RNA". It matches the Rfam family "Bacterial small subunit ribosomal RNA", at positions 509 to 807 of the family's 1533-position model. The record is from RNAcentral.